RNAcentral lists this transfer RNA (73 nucleotides) under bacterium. RNAcentral's name for it is "tRNA-Ala". It matches the Rfam family "tRNA". From Rfam's summary of the family: Transfer RNA (tRNA) molecules are approximately 80 nucleotides in length. Their secondary structure includes four short double-helical elements and three loops (D, anti-codon, and T loops). Further hydrogen bonds mediate the characteristic L-shaped molecular structure. tRNAs have two regions of fundamental functional importance: the anti-codon, which is responsible for specific mRNA codon recognition, and the 3' end, to which the tRNAs corresponding amino acid is attached (by aminoacyl-tRNA synthetases). tRNAs cope with the degeneracy of the genetic code in two manners: having more than one tRNA (with a specific anti-codon) for a particular amino acid; and 'wobble' base-pairing, i.e. permitting non-standard base-pairing at the 3rd anti-codon position. The record is from RNAcentral. RNAcentral also lists the same sequence under 1 other name.
GGGGCAGUAGCUCAGUUGGGAGAGCGCCAGAAUCGCAAUCUGGAGGUCGGCGGUUCGAUUCCGCUCUGCUCCA